This 1471-nucleotide long non-coding RNA is filed under the name Felis catus (domestic cat). Its description in RNAcentral is "lncRNA (ENSFCAG00000044532.2)". The record is from RNAcentral. Lineage: Eukaryota; Metazoa; Chordata; Mammalia; Carnivora; Felidae.
GCGUGACACUCAGGUGUGCAGAGAAAGGAGCGGGCGCCCUACGCCCCUACCCUCUAGGCGUCGGGUUCCCUCGUGCUGUUGGGAAGAGAGGAGGUCCGGCGUGGGGCUCACUGGGGAAGCAGCAGAGGACGCGCCUUUCCCGAAUCCCAAACUUAUUCCCCAAAGGAGAAGGGAAGGAGCGCGUCCUCUCAGUGACCCGGACUGGCCGUCCCCACCCCAACCCCUUCCUCGUAGCGGUUCCGGCAAUUCGGGGACAACCCGAAGGGCAUCAAGGCGGAGGCGCUCAGUUCCCUUCUCAGUUCCCCCUGAGGCCGGGGGAAGGCAGCUCCGUGGAUAGACUGACCUGCGAGGUGGCGCGGUUUCCAGCGGCGCGGGAUGGCCGGGUCCGAAAUAGGGCUGGAGCCUUCGUGGAAAGCAAGACGUCUCCAGGAAGUCGGAGGCCUCUCCUGGACACCUGCUGCUCUGGGAGCUUGAACACCCACUCUGGAGCCUCUAGGUGUCGUCCGAGCCAGGGGCGCUGGGAUUGGGAUGAGGACCGAGAAGGGUGCCUCCUUUGCCCAGCCCUGCUACACCUGGGGCCUCGGCAGAGCUGGGGUUUUCUCACAGCAUGCGCACCUGAGACUGGGGUCGACGAGUGGAGUCAACUCCUAGCCUUCACGCCCCCUGCUCGUCUCUGACAGCUGGGGUCGCAGAGGUGUGGCCCGUUUGCACACAGUCAAGCCAGAGGAUCCGAACGCGCCACCCCUCCUAUCUGGCUGCUAAGCGUGGGAAGAAACUGCUCUGGAAGAUUUUGCUGAUUUUAUUGGCCUAAACAAACCGAAGAAAACAGUGCAGCUUAAGCCCUAUUCCUGAUUUUAAAGCAUACGCAUGCUUGCAUGCAGAUGUCACCUCUUCUUGACCGAUGAGGGAAAUCCCCAGAUUAAAGUCCGUGAAACGUCAGAGCCCUGCGGUGAUGAGGCUCCGGGACGACACUCACGCAAUUCCCUGCCAAGGGAAGUUGAGAAAGCACCAGUCCACGUCGUACAAGUGGGAGAGAACUCCAGGGACCUCCCAGCGAUUUGUGCAAAUGAGACCAUGCCAUCUAGCUUCCCAGAAGCUCCGGCCCUCUGUUCCGACGUUACAGGUGUGGCUCAAAGCGGGCCGUGGCCCCAGACCUGCAGCCCCGGGCACAGCUAACAACUACAGUGAAGAGGCUGAGGCCACCCCAGGAGCCAGAACCAGAAGGCAGGGCGGGGAGGCUCUCAGCAUCCCCCUUUUUAAAGGCCACGGGGUGGGAAAUUGUCCAGAAUGCUCCCCCAUCCAGAUUGCAAAGUUAAAGUCAAUAGUGUGUACUUUAGUGGUGACUAACCUCCAAUUUUCCUCUUCCCAUUGCGCUGAGUCAGUCCCUGGCGACCUGUUCACUUUAAGAGUUUGGAUGCAGAAGGAAGGAGGGGCCCAUCCGUUUCUGGGCUUUGAAAGCAUGGCAUUCUAG